AUUGAGUUUGAUCCUGGCUCAGAGCGAACGCUGGCGGCAGGCUUAACACAUGCAAGUCGAACGGGCGUAGCAAUACGUCAGUGGCAGACGGGUGAGUAACGCGUGGGAACGUACCUUUUGGUUCGGAACAACACAGGGAAACUUGUGCUAAUACCGGAUAAGCCCUUACGGGGAAAGAUUUAUCGCCGAAAGAUCGGCCCGCGUCUGAUAAGCUAGUUGGUGAGGUAAUGGCUCACCAAGGCGACGAUCAGUAGCUGGUCUGAGAGGAUGAUCAGCCACAUUGGGACUGAGACACGGCCCAAACUCCUACGGGAGGCAGCAGUGGGGAAUAUUGGGCAAUGGGCGCAAGCCUGAUCCAGCCAUGCCGCGUGAGUGAUGAAGGCCCUAGGGUUGUAAAGCUCUUUUGUGCGGGAAGAUAAUGACGGUACCGCAAGAAUAAGCCCCGGCUAACUUCGUGCCAGCAGCCGCGGUAAUAAU
RNAcentral lists this ribosomal RNA (477 nucleotides) under uncultured bacterium. Its description in RNAcentral is "bacterial SSU rRNA". It matches the Rfam family "Bacterial small subunit ribosomal RNA", at positions 1 to 526 of the family's 1533-position model. The record is from RNAcentral.